This 81-nucleotide microRNA precursor is filed under the name Ixodes scapularis (black-legged tick). Its description in RNAcentral is "Isc-Mir-76_pre stem-loop". Lineage: Eukaryota; Metazoa; Arthropoda; Arachnida; Ixodida; Ixodidae. The record is from RNAcentral.
CAGGUCUCUCGACCAACGACCAGAGUCUCUGGAAAGGAUGACCGGGAACCGGUCAACUGUUCGUUGUCGUAGAAACCUGAU